Molecule: ribosomal RNA, 468 nt
Filed under: uncultured bacterium
Lineage: Bacteria
Description: partial 16S ribosomal RNA
Rfam family: Bacterial small subunit ribosomal RNA
Source: RNAcentral
GACGAACGCUGGCGGCGUGCUUAACACAUGCAAGUCGAACGGAAAGGCCCUGCUUUUGUGGGGUGCUCGAGUGGCGAGCGGGUGAGUAACACGUGAGUAACCUGCCCUUGACUUUGGGAUAACUUCAGGAAACUGGGGCUAAUACCGGAUAGGAGCGCCUGCUGCAUGGUGUGGGUUGGAAAGUUUCGGCGGUUGGGGAUGGACUCGCGGCUUAUCAGCUUGUUGGUGGGGUAGUGGCUUACCAAGGCUUUGACGGGUAGCCGGCCUGAGAGGGUGACCGGCCACAUUGGGACUGAGAUACGGCCCAGACUCCUACGGGAGGCAGCAGUGGGGAAUAUUGCACAAUGGGCGGAAGCCUGAUGCAGCAACGCCGCGUGCGGGAUGACGGCCUUCGGGUUGUAAACCGCUUUCGCCUGUGACGAAGCGUGAGUGACGGUAAUGGGUAAAGAAGCACCGGCUAACUACGUG